RNAcentral lists this ribosomal RNA (254 nucleotides) under uncultured bacterium. Its description in RNAcentral is "partial 16S ribosomal RNA". It matches the Rfam family "Bacterial small subunit ribosomal RNA", at positions 524 to 776 of the family's 1533-position model. The record is from RNAcentral.
UACGUAGGGACCAAGCGUUGUUCGGAUUUACUGGGCGUAAAGGGCGCGUAGGCGGCCACUGCAAGUCAGUUGUGAAAUCUCCGGGCUUAACCCGGAAAGGUCAACUGAUACUGCAGGGCUAGAGUGCAGAAGGGGCAACUGGAAUUCUCGGUGUAGCGGUGAAAUGCGUAGAUAUCGAGAGGAACACCUGCGGCGAAGGCGGGUUGCUGGGCUGACACUGACGCUGAGGCGCGAAAGCCAGGGGAGCGAACGGG